RNAcentral lists this long non-coding RNA (986 nucleotides) under Anser cygnoides (Swan goose). RNAcentral's name for it is "lncRNA (ENSACDG00005006268.1)". Lineage: Eukaryota; Metazoa; Chordata; Aves; Anseriformes; Anatidae. The record is from RNAcentral.
AUGGCUCUGGGCUGGAGCAAGGCUUUCCUUAGAGAAGCCAGUCCCCUUCCCCUUGCCCCCGCACUGCUGUCCCCCUGGGCCACGCUGCCCCCACAGCCUCUGCCUGCUGUGUGGAGGCAACGAGGGGCGGCCUGCUGCUGGUGGAGGCCGGGGGAGCGGCUGCUCUGGCUAGGAGUGGGACAAUUAAUGUCCUCCGUCAGGGCGGCAAGUCUCCAGACUUUGAGAAACAUCCCGGGGUUGGGCCGUGCCUGCCUGUUCCUGCAGUGGCUGAAAUACAGCCUUAUCCUGAGGGAAAUGGCGGUGAGAGGCGGCUGCCGGCUGGGAAAGGGGGGAGGCCUUGUGGCUGCGGAGAGCAGGAGCUGCUGCCGGCUGCUGUGGUGCGAAACGAAGAAGCACUUGUGUCCCAACUUCUUCAGGAGCUUAAAAAGACCUUCCUCUUGCUUCAGAGAUAAGGAAAAAGGACCAGCUAUUACACAACCUUGCGGACAGUCAGAAUUGACUCUUAAUAAUGGGACAGACAGCAGAAGAGAUCAGUGUAUGCUGAAUUUUGUUCACCCACUUCCAACUUGAAGAUUCCCUUUGGACAUUCUAUAGCAAUGUGUAUGUAUCUCAACUGGCAUGUUAAAACUGACAUGAAGAAAAAAGAAGGUUGCUAUUGAAAGGUCAGCAUCAUAAUGAACUUCCAAUUCUGUUUUUGUUUUAUAUUUAUUGUUACUGCAUAAAUCUUGGUCCAUUCUUUAUUAGUUUAAUGCUUUCCACAUUUCCAUUUCCAUUAAAACCACAUUCAGAGCUAUUAGUGGAUUGUUAUUACCCAGUACUGUAUCAAUUAAUGGAGCCAACAUGAAAAGAGGAGGAUGUAAAUCAGUCCUCCAUGUGAGACAGUGGCCAUACAGACUGAUUUUCCUAUUCCCUACAGCCUUUGCAGAGGAGUGAUUUCUAAUUACAAGGUGAAGUGGUUGAGAAAAAUAAAAUACAUAUUCACAGCA